GAGAGGUGCAUCAUCAUCAUCAUCAACAACAUUGUGGAGAAUCCCCUCCCCCUCUAACCUUCCUCUACCUGCCUCACUGCUUCCUGCAUGGGCGGAGCCUCAGAAUCAAUAUAGGCUGCCAGCUCACCUGUGGCAAACUUUUAAGAACAAAGAAGCUGGCUGGCCUCAUGUGGAUGUGUCAUCAGAAUAGUUUGAUCUGUGUAUAUGAUAUGUCCCAGUGCAGUUUCAAGCAUCGCCUGCAUUAGGAAUAUUUAAUUGUUGGACUCCAGUCAGACAUCCGGAGCACAGAGUAUGCUGAGGCUUUAGACGACUACUGUAGGUCCGUUCUGUCCUGCAGUCCCCAGAGAUGUGCAUCAACGCUGGGAAACGGGACAGCAGUGUAUCCCCCUGAGAUGACAUGCAUCAAGAUGCUGCCAGUGUGUGUUGCCCUUAAGACAUUCUUCAUUGUUACAUAUUCUGUUCAUUCAGUCAAAAACAACUGUUUAAAUGCCUUAUACUGAGUAAAUGUACAAUUAUUUAUAUUCUGAAUUUUAGUACAGCAGCUAUUCUGUCUCCUCAUCUUUAUAUGUUGAUGUGUUAUAUGGCAAUGCAAUGAAAAUAGUUAAAAUAUUUACAAAACAA
Thunnus maccoyii (southern bluefin tuna) is the source of this 621-nucleotide long non-coding RNA. RefSeq lists it as uncharacterized. The transcript has 2 exons. Lineage: Eukaryota; Metazoa; Chordata; Actinopteri; Scombriformes; Scombridae. The record is from RefSeq and is a predicted model, not a curated record.